ACUCCUACGGGAGGCAGCAGUAAGGAAUAUUGGACAAUGGACGCAAGUCUGAUCCAGCCAUGCCGCGUGAAGGAUUAAGGUCCUCUGGAUUGUAAACUUCUUUUAUAAGGGACGAAAAAAGGCUUUUCUAAGUCGUCUGACGGUACCUUAUGAAUAAGCACCGGCUAACUCCGUGCCAGCAGCCGCGGUAAU
RNAcentral lists this ribosomal RNA (192 nucleotides) under uncultured bacterium. RNAcentral's name for it is "partial 16S ribosomal RNA". It matches the Rfam family "Bacterial small subunit ribosomal RNA", at positions 335 to 524 of the family's 1533-position model. The record is from RNAcentral.